RNAcentral lists this transfer RNA (96 nucleotides) under Pseudomonas atacamensis. RNAcentral describes it as "tRNA-Sec". It matches the Rfam family "Selenocysteine transfer RNA". Lineage: Bacteria; Pseudomonadati; Pseudomonadota; Gammaproteobacteria; Pseudomonadales; Pseudomonadaceae. The record is from RNAcentral.
GGAAGACAAACGCGCCCGGUGGCGCGGCCGGGCUUCAAACCCGGUUGGGGACGGCAUCCGUUCCCGGGCAGGUUCGACUCCGGCUGUCUUCCGCCA